UAACGCUCUGUUGUGUAUAGGAUAAUUUAUUUACAAUGUAUCCGAGAACUUUUAUACAUAAAUGAAAUGUGAUUGUUAGAUCAACAACACCUGGGACACGAACAGUAUUUAUACAAUGUAGGCUAUGUGUAUCAAAAUACAAAAACUAUUUACAAACAUAUUUUUAUUAUUGGUUAUGUAAUUGCUUAGCUAUAUCUCAUAGUUUACAUUUGUACUUCAAUGCUUAAUGCGGAUUGUAAUUUAUUGCAGAUGCCUUGCUGUAUUGAGAGAGGAACAGAUAAAUGCUAUGCAAUCAAUCAUUGAGUUUCCAGAUGAUGGUAUUUAACUUGUACCGAAACUUUGGUUUUGUGAUGAUUCCUGUAGCCUAACUAUGUGAAUCAACUAAACAUGAACAAUAGCUGCUUACAGGACAUAGAAAGGAGAGGACCAGUAGCAGCAUCUCCAAAGAAAG
This is a long non-coding RNA of Homalodisca vitripennis (glassy-winged sharpshooter), 451 nucleotides long. RefSeq lists it as uncharacterized. The record is from RefSeq and is a predicted model, not a curated record. The transcript has 2 exons. NCBI's taxonomy places the organism in Eukaryota, Metazoa, Arthropoda, Insecta, Hemiptera, Cicadellidae.